CCUGACCUAGCGGCGGACGGGUGAGUAAUGCUUAGGAAUCUGCCUAUUAGUGGGGGACAACAUUCCGAAAGGAAUGCUAAUACCGCAUACGCCCUACGGGGGAAAGCAGGGGAUCUUCGGACCUUGCGCUAAUAGAUGAGCCUAAGUCAGAUUAGCUAGUUGGUGGGGUAAAGGCCUACCAAGGCGACGAUCUGUAGCGGGUCUGAGAGGAUGAUCCGCCACACUGGGACUGAGACACGGCCCAGACUCCUACGGGAGGCAGCAGUGGGGAAUAUUGGACAAUGGGCGAAAGCCUGAUCCAGCCAUGCCGCGUGUGUGAAGAAGGCCUUUUGGUUGUAAAGCACUUUAAGCGAGGAGGAGGCUACUGAGAUUAAUACUCUUGGAUAGUGGACGUUACUCGCAGAAUAAGCACCGGCUAACUCUGUGCCAGCAGCCGCGGUAAUACAGAGGGUGCGAGCGUUAAUCGGAUUUACUGGGCGUAAAGCGUGCGUAGGUGGCUAAUUAAGUCAAAUGUGAAAUCCCCGAGCUUAACUUGGGA
RNAcentral lists this ribosomal RNA (538 nucleotides) under uncultured Acinetobacter sp. RNAcentral describes it as "bacterial SSU rRNA". It matches the Rfam family "Bacterial small subunit ribosomal RNA", at positions 86 to 619 of the family's 1533-position model. The record is from RNAcentral. Lineage: Bacteria; Pseudomonadati; Pseudomonadota; Gammaproteobacteria; Moraxellales; Moraxellaceae.